UCUGUAAGUAGAAUCUCUGUGUUUGUUUGAAUUCUUGUACUUUGACUGUCUGCUCUCCUGAUAACUGAUGAUGGAGGAGAAGACAUGAAAAACAAAUCAGGCUGAAUUCAAGUUCAAACACCACGAGGACCAACUGCAGUUCUGAUCUCACUGCUGAGCUGCACAACAAACCAAGCUCGUCUGACUGUGAGUCCCAGCA
This is a long non-coding RNA of Haplochromis burtoni (Burton's mouthbrooder), 199 nucleotides long. RefSeq lists it as uncharacterized. The transcript is spliced from 3 exons. Lineage: Eukaryota; Metazoa; Chordata; Actinopteri; Cichliformes; Cichlidae. The record is from RefSeq and is a predicted model, not a curated record.